This is an RNA transcript of Cucurbita maxima (winter squash), 2048 nucleotides long. RefSeq lists it as uncharacterized. Lineage: Eukaryota; Viridiplantae; Streptophyta; Magnoliopsida; Cucurbitales; Cucurbitaceae. The record is from RefSeq and is a predicted model, not a curated record. The transcript is spliced from 4 exons.
UUUUGUUUGAUUUCUGGCUAGAAGCUAAUCCCGCCCUGUUAAGGAUCCUUCACGAUCGCCCUUGGUUCCGCUUCUGAAUCAUCGUCGUCUUCACUUGAUUCUCCGAUGACUGCUUCAACUUGCAACGGCAGCAGCAUCUCUUCUUCAUUACAUUGCUUGAUUCUGUCAGAUCCGCCAUAAAAAACGACGACUGUAAGCGUUUCUUUAGUUACUCAAUCUAUCAAAAUUUCCGAGUUCACUUUGAUUCUUUCUCACGAUUCUUCAAUACCAGGUCUCUCUCUCCCUCUCUCUUUCUCUCAUAGUGUAUUUAUUUUUGUUUGUAUGUAUGUUUAUGCGUUUUAGAUUUAGUUUCACUUUCUGGUUUGAUUUUGGUUUCUUCCUUGCAUAUUCGAAGAAAGUAGAUUAAGAUUGUGGAGUUUUGAAGCUCUCGUGUAGUGUUUCAUUUUCUCCAACUAUUUUUCAGCGAUUGAAAAUUGAUUCAGAUAUUGAUUUGAAAGUUAGAAUUUAUAUCGCUACAUGAAGGAGAUUGAAGGAGAAGGUGCUUGACUUUCUAAUUUUGUAUGAUCAAAACGUGCGAAUACUUUGGUAGAUUAUGUAGAACAGGAUUAUAGCAACGAUAGAAGAUAUAACUAUCAAAGGAGAGCAAAGGAUUAGAAAAAAUAUAGCACCUGAAAAUCCAAGUUAUUUAGGGAUGGAGAAAGAUUUAGGGUUUAAAUUCCCUUUCAAGCGAGGGAGAGAGAGAGGUAAGAACAGAGGCUAAUAACUUUUUUUUAAUUCUAUUAAAUUCAUCGUGCGGAAAUAUUCUCUGUCCUUUUUCUUUUACCUUUUUCUUCCGGAGGACGACGGACGUCGCGAAUCUUAGUUCGUUUAAGCGCCGCGGCGAGGAGCUGAAACAGAGGGGAGGAAAUUAACAAAGACUCCAAAAUCGAACCGCGUCAAUUUUAUCGGAGUUCUAUCGUCUACUAGAAAUAGAGCUCAACGAGCUCCUGGCGGCGGCGGUGGCACCAAAUCGUACGGUAAGGAUAGAAUGCUAUUGUAAUUAGCACAACUGUCCUCGGAAAAAUAAGGGAAAAGGAAAGAAAAGGAAUCGGGGAAAAAUUGGAAAUAAUAACGAUAGGAGCAAUGGAAGAUGCGGUGGUAAUUGGAGGAUUGAUGGCGGUGCAGUUCAUAUACGCCGGAAACUCGGUAUUGCUGCGUUAUUUAAUGUCGUUAGGGCUCAAUCCGUUUACCGUCGUCAUUGUUAUUGCCUCUGCAACUUUUUUCCUUCUCUGUCCUCUUCUCCGGCUCUAUAUCUUUUUCUCGCAGAUGAAUUUGAUGAACGAUGUGCAUACCGAGGAGCAUUUGGCUCAAGAAAUUGAGUUUCAUGUUGCUACUUCAGCAUGUUCUGAUCUCCUUUCGCAGAGGAAUAGUGAUUGGCAUAAGCUUGAGGUUCAACGGAUGGGCACGAAGAAAAGAGGGACAGUUUUGGUGUCAAUUUUCAGGCCAUUGGAAUGGAACAGUUUUCUCCGUCAUUCUCUCUGUCUCCACCUUAGGGAACACUAUUAUUUCCAUUUGAAGUGUUUUAGGCGUGGGGACACUACUUUGAUUGCAAGCCAAGAAUUUCAUUAGUACCAAAGUUUGUUUCAAUUGAUUUCUUCUUCAAAAUCAACCUUAUACGGAAAAAGAUAGAGCUUCAAAACAAAGACUCCUAAGAGCUUUGUAGGAACUUGUCUCGAAUAGGAGGAGAAUCUCAUUUAAAUGAGUGAAGAGAGAUUUUUCUCUGAAGCUAAAUGAGGAUGGGGACGGAGAUUACAUUUAUCGUCUCCGUCCUCAAUCUCAACCACGCCCCAAUUUAAGUCUCCGCCUGACCUAUCCCAUCGACAUCUCUAGUAAAUGGGUGUUAAAAGAUUGCAUAGUAUAUUGGGCCUAGUCUGAAUCGUGGGGCCUCAUGUUGGUGGAAAAGCCCACCUGCUCAACUUUUAUGGAUCUGAGCUCUCCCCCAUCACCAAACAUUGUUUUUUUUAUUAUUAUUUUAAAAAUUAAUUAUUUAUUAUUGAGGUGACUUUUUA